AACCUUACCACCUUUUGACAUGCCUGGACCGCCACGGAGACGUGGCUUUCCCUUCGGGGACUAGGACACAGGUGCUGCAUGGCUGUCGUCAGCUCGUGUCGUGAGAUGUUGGGUUAAGUCCCGCAACGAGCGCAACCCUCGCCAUUAGUUGCCAUCAUUUAGUUGGGAACUCUAAUGGGACUGCCGGUGCUAAGCCGGAGGAAGGUGGGGAUGACGUCAAGUCCUCAUGGCCCUUACAGGGUGGGCUACACACGUGCUACAAUGGCAACUACAGAGGGUU
This 280-nucleotide ribosomal RNA is filed under the name Klebsiella pneumoniae. RNAcentral describes it as "partial 16S ribosomal RNA". It matches the Rfam family "Bacterial small subunit ribosomal RNA", at positions 967 to 1248 of the family's 1533-position model. Lineage: Bacteria; Pseudomonadati; Pseudomonadota; Gammaproteobacteria; Enterobacterales; Enterobacteriaceae. The record is from RNAcentral.